CUUAAAUAUGCAACUAGCUUUUUCUGGAGGGGUUUUACUGAAAUGAGUUUAGACAGAGACUGCACAGGCCUCCAGCACUGCAAGGGCAACCCGGAAGAGAGACAACUUGCUAAGCCUUUCAAAAGAAUGGGGAAGUAUUGGUUCCAGACCUGCUGCAGAGAGAGGCUCAAAGAGACUCGGCACUGGCAGAACAAAGAAACCUAGGAGGGAAGCUUUGCUCCAAAAGAGAGGUUUUGCUUCAGGAGAAGACUGUUCCAAGAAAAGGGAGACUGGCUGUUUCAAACUCAAAAAAGCUGAUCUUAUGGCUCUUAGCAAAAUAGUGGUGUCUUUAAGAGUUGAUUGGGCUCCUUCCUCCUGAGUGGGUUUAAGUACCUAACAAAAGAGGCUUCAAGCAGUAUUCAGCUCUCUUGCCCUUCCGCUCUCUGCUAUGUGAAGACACAGUGUUCCUCCCCUCUCCCUUCUGGAAGACACAGCGACAAUGUGCCAUAUCGGAAGGAAGCAGAGAACAUCCCUCACCAAAUAAUCAAUCCUGCUGGUGCCUUAAUUAUGAACUUCUCAGCCUGCAGAACUCAUGAAGGCCAUCAUCGGAUGUGGGCUGAUUGAUCUUGGACUUCCAAGCCUCCAGAACUAGAACUACUCCACCAUCAUCUGAUGUGGUUCUGAUGGCUGUGUGUUUCUCAGCUUUAUCCUCAGCCUGUGGGUAAUUUAAAAUAAAUACUUUUGCAAGUGAACCAAUAGAAAUAUUUCACUGUCAUUGGGCAGAAAGCUAAAAACCUAAUUACGUUGGAAGUAGGAAGAGGAAGUAAGUAUGGUUGGAAGAGGUGGAGUCUGGUGCUGCCAGAGCAGAAAGCACAAAGAAGAACGUGCUUUUAGGUGGGUGCCCUAAGAGACAUGAUAAGUGAAAAAGGACAUGUUUCACAGCGUGAUCUAUAUGUAACCCUUUUAAAGGAAACCGGUCUUCUCAAGUCUCUUCAGAAGCUAAAAGGAUAUUUAUAAAAGAAAUGAUGAUAUACCUCAAACCAUGGGUAUGGAACCGGAAAUAGCAAUUUGACCACAGAAGUUUUUUCACAACUCAUAUACUACUACCCAAUGAUCUAGGAUCCAUGUGGCCUCACAAAAUAUAUGAGAAUAGCCACUCAUAGUGUCAAUCUUUAGAACCUGAAUGAAAAGAAAAAAAAAAUAUGGUGAGAAGAGGAAAUGACAGAGGAGCACACAAUGGUGAUGGUGGUGAGGACAGAGAUGUGGUAGCUGCAAUCUAUUAAUGGUAAAUCACUAAAAGAAGACCCUAAAACUCCUAAAAUGCUUAAAUGACCUUGAGUUUGGAUCCAUUUCCUUGAGGGCCAGUCCUAUUACUGAUCAUCUACUUAGAUAUCUAUGAAAGCCCACUACUGAAACCACUCCAUAUGUAUUCUUUUUUUUUUUUUUUUUUUUUUUGAGACGGAGUCUUGCUCUGUCGCCCAGGCUGGAGUGCAGUGGCGCAAUCUCGGCUCACUGCAAGCUCCGCCUCCCGGGUUCAAGCUAUUCUCCUGCCUCAGCCUCCUGAGUAGCUGGGACUAUGGGCGCC
Molecule: long non-coding RNA, 1564 nt
Filed under: Homo sapiens (human)
Lineage: Eukaryota; Metazoa; Chordata; Mammalia; Primates; Hominidae
Description: HSALNT0208614
Source: RNAcentral